GUUUGAUCCUGGCUCAGGAUGAACGCUGGCGGCGUGCUUAACACAUGCAAGUCGAACGGAAAGGCCCUGCUUGCAGGGUACUCGAGUGGCGAACGGGUGAGUAACACGUGGGUGAUCUGCCUUGUACUCUGGGAUAAGCUUGGGAAACUGGGUCUAAUACCGGAUAGGACGAUGGUUUGGAUGCCAUUGUGGAAAGUUUUUCGGUGUGGGAUGAGCUCGCGGCCUAUCAGCUUGUUGGUGGGGUAAUGGCCUACCAAGGCGUCGACGGGUAGCCGGCCUGAGAGGGUGUACGGCCACAUUGGGACUGAGAUACGG
RNAcentral lists this ribosomal RNA (315 nucleotides) under Nephroselmis pyriformis. Its description in RNAcentral is "partial Bacterial small subunit ribosomal RNA". It matches the Rfam family "Bacterial small subunit ribosomal RNA", at positions 11 to 329 of the family's 1533-position model. Lineage: Eukaryota; Viridiplantae; Chlorophyta; Nephroselmidophyceae; Nephroselmidales; Nephroselmidaceae. The record is from RNAcentral.